RNA transcript from Solanum stenotomum, 1498 nucleotides. It is a transcript of the gene named 5-amino-6-(5-phospho-D-ribitylamino)uracil phosphatase, chloroplastic, with no coding region annotated. The transcript is spliced from 12 exons. Lineage: Eukaryota; Viridiplantae; Streptophyta; Magnoliopsida; Solanales; Solanaceae. The record is from RefSeq and is a predicted model, not a curated record.
GCAACAACCAUCUUCGUUUUAAUCAGGAAGAGCUUCUCUCAAAUUAUUAAUUAUCAUACUAAAAAUGGAGGCCACUCUUAGCAGCUUUCGCAGUUGCUCUCAGGCUCAGCUCCCCUUACAACCCACCUCUUUCCCUCCUCAAUUCUUCAAAAAGUCCCAAUUCUUGAGACUACAGAAAUCAAAGCCUUCGAACUCAGCACAGUGUUAUCCACGUUUGGUGAUUGCGAAGGCGUUGGGGACGGGCGAUAAUGGUGUCUUUGAAGAUUUUACAGCUACACCUAACAAGAUUUUUAUGGAAGAGGCAAUUGGUGCCGAAUACGGAGAAGGUUUCGAGACAUUUAGACCCAAUGGACUGCUCAAAGUUGAUGUGGAUUUUUUAAAUGAUAGACUGCAAGAGGGUUUCUUGCGAAGAAUCCGUUAUGCGAUGAAGCCUGAUGAAGCUUAUGGCCUCAUUUUCUCUUGGGAUAAUGUGGUGGCAGAUUCUCGAGCUCUGAAGUUGGAUGCCUGGAAUCAACUUGCCUCUGAAGAAGGAUUAGAGCUUCCUGAAGACGAUAGUGUGCAGCGGCUGUUACUUAAUGCAACUGCUGAUCAUGUUCUGCAUAAGGCGCUGCCAAAGGAGAAGAAUGAAGCUGAUCAGGAUCGAUUGAAGAUGAGGCUUUCCCAACUCUAUAAUGACAAGCUUCUGAAAAUUUCAGAGCCAAUUGAAGGGUUGAAAGAAUGGCUGGAUGCCGUAUCAACUGCUCGUAUCCCUUGUGCUGUUGUGUCAAGUUUUGAUCGCAGAAAUAUGGUUGAAGCCUUAGAGCGCAUGGGACUCAUGAAGUACUUCCAGGCAAUUGUGACAGAGGAGGAUGGAAUGGAGUCUAUAGCACAUAGAUUUCUUUCUGCAGCUGUGAAGCUGGACAGAAAGCCAUCAAAGUGUGUGGUGUUUGAGGACGACCCUAGGGGCAUAACUGCUGCUCACAACUGUACAAUGAUGGCUGUGGCACUUAUUGGUGCUCACCCAGCGUACGAUUUAGGGCAAGCUGACCUUGCUGUAGGUUGCUUCAGUGAGCUUUCUGUGAUAAAUCUCAGGAGAUUAUUUGCACAUAAAGGCUCCAACUUUAUGGACCUAGAGAAACAAAUAGCAGAAAAAGCACCACGCAGAAGGAAGCUCACAAUUGACACCAUUUUCUGAACCAGUUUGGUACAACAGUCUACCACCUCAUUUUCCUACUUGUAAAUGCUCUCUUAGUGUUAGAAUCUGUAGGUCUUGCCGUCCCUUGCCUUCAUUCAUUCUUUAGAUAAAUAGAGCUGGUAGAAGAUGAUUUCCCUUGAGGUAAUCUGAAACUCAGAAAUCCUUUUCUUGUCUUCUUUUCUCUCUUUUUUCUUUUGGGGUUUCUGUUUGUUCGUGUGAUCAAGCCGUUAUUCAAACUGAUAUCUACCAGCAGUGGUGGUGGAAUUAUGAUCCAUGUCACAACUAAUAGUUGCUUUUAGGUGCAUGCAAUAUUGUAACUUGUGU